Molecule: ribosomal RNA, 805 nt
Filed under: Staphylococcus pseudintermedius
Lineage: Bacteria; Bacillati; Bacillota; Bacilli; Caryophanales; Staphylococcaceae
Description: partial 23S ribosomal RNA
Rfam family: Bacterial large subunit ribosomal RNA
Source: RNAcentral
CUUAAGAUUGAGCUGUGAUGGGGAGAGGAACUUGUUCCUCGAGUCGUUGAUUUCACACUGCCGAGAAAAGCCUCUAGCUAGAAUAACGGUGCCCGUACCGCAAACCGACACAGGUAGUCAAGAUGAGAAUUCUAAGGUGAGCGAGCGAACUCUCGUUAAGGAACUCGGCAAAAUGACCCCGUAACUUCGGGAGAAGGGGUGCUCUUUGAGGUUCACGCUUCGAAGAGCCGCAGUGAAUAGGCCCAAGCGACUGUUUAUCAAAAACACAGGUCUCUGCUAAACCGUAAGGUGACGUAUAGGGGCUGACGCCUGCCCGGUGCUGGAAGGUUAAGAGGAGUGGUUAGCGCAAGCGAAGCUACGAAUCGAAGCCCCAGUAAACGGCGGCCGUAACUAUAACGGUCCUAAGGUAGCGAAAUUCCUUGUCGGGUAAGUUCCGACCCGCACGAAAGGCGUAACGAUUUGGGCACUGUCUCAACGAGAGACUCGGUGAAAUCAUAGUACCGGUGAAGAUGCCGGUUACCCGCGACAGGACGGAAAGACCCCGUGGAGCUUUACUGUAGCCUGAUAUUGAAAUUCGGUACAGUUUGUACAGGAUAGGUAGGAGCCUUAGAAGCGUGAGCGCUAGCUUACGUGGAGGCAUUGGUGGGAUACUACCCUAAUUGUAUUGGAUUUCUAACCCGCAGCACUUAUCGUGCUGGGAGACAGUGUCAGGCGGGCAGUUUGACUGGGGCGGUCGCCUCCUAAAGAGUAACGGAGGCGCUCAAAGGUUCCCUCAGAAUGGUUGGAAAUCAUUCAUAGAGUGUAA